This 4355-nucleotide unclassified non-coding RNA is filed under the name Anneissia japonica. The record is from RNAcentral. Lineage: Eukaryota; Metazoa; Echinodermata; Crinoidea; Comatulida; Comatulidae.
GGCAAUUCAUUCAAGAUGACAUCAAUGUCACGCCGGGAGUUGGAUGAUAUCAAACCAUGGGUUGAAAAAACCGUGAAGCGUGUGCUAGGAUUCCCGGAGCCUACGGUUGUCACAGCAGCUCUUAACUGUGUAUCAAAGGGCUUCGACCAAUCACAAACUACAGAAAUGCUUCAACCUUUGCUUGAAAAAUCCGCUCCCAAAUUUGUGACAUUGUUAUUUGAAACAAUGCAGGAAGUUGAAACAUCAAGAAAGAUGAAUAAACCUCGCAAAAGAACAUUUAAGGAGGAUGAAUCAAUGGAAGAGAUUGUUAAGCCAAAGAAGUCAAAAUUACCAGCUCAUUUUUCUGAUGAGUUAGAAGCUCCAUUACCAGAACCUACCCCAAGCCCUGGCCAGUUAACUGCUGCUCAGAUUAAAGAAAUGAUGGCACAUGCACGAAAACAAAUUACAGCAAGGAAAGAGCAGAUAGAUGCAAUGGGCAUGAUGCGGAAGUCAUCAAUAGCCCCAGUAAUUCCAUUGAACCAAAGUCAACAACUAGCAAAGGAGGCUCUAGAGAAGGCUAAGAGAGCUGCAGAAAUCCAGGCCAGAAUCCAGUCCCAGAUGGCAAGCACAGGCCUAGGAAUCAAACAUUUGUCCAAACCCACACCAUUGAUUCUUGAUGACCAAGGGCGGACAGUUGAUGCUAGUGGCAAUGCUAUACAGCUAACACAGAGAAUGCCAACACUGAAGGCUAAUAUUCGAGCCAAGAAAAGGGAGGAAUUUAAGGCAGUGCAGGAUAAACCGGACACACAACUUGAUGAGACGCACAAAUUCUUUGAUCAUCGCGUUAGCCUACAACCCGCAUUAAGACCCAAGAAAGCAUUUAAAUUCCAUGAAAAAGGCAAAUAUCAAUUGAUUGCACAAAGGGUUAGAGCCAAGGCCCAACUUGAGAAACUUCAAAGUGAGAUUGCCCAAGCUGCUAAAAAGACAGGGAUCUCAUCAGCUGCAAGAUUGGCACUCAUCCAACCAAAGAAAGUCUUGAGAGAAGAUGAAAUACCAGAUGUGGAGUGGUGGGAUUCUGUGAUCUUGCAUGUAGAUUCUUACAAUGGGUUACAAAACAAGGAUAAACGUGAAUGUAUUGUUGGCAUUACACAUCUUGUUGAGCAUCCAAUUCAAUUGAAGCCACCAGGUGAUAAAGAUGCAGCAGUGGAAGUGCCAAUCUUUCUGACUAAGAAGGAAAGGAAAAAAAUCCGUAGACAGUCAAGAAGGGAAGCUGAUUUAGAAAAACAAGAGAAAGUAAGGUUAGGUCUAGAACCACCUCCAGAACCAAAAGUGCGAAUGGCAAACUUGAUGAGAGUAUUGGGAAAUGAAGCCGUCCAGGAUCCGACAAAGGUCGAAGCUCAUGUCAGGGCUCAGAUGGCUAAGAGACAAAGGCUACAUGAGGAAGCAAAUGCUGCACGAAAAUUGACGGAUGAACAGAAACGAGAAAAGAAAAUGAACAAGAUUCGGGAAGAUACGUCAAAUGGAGUUAACGUUUCUGUUUACAGAGUGCGUGAACUUAACUGUCCAUCUCACAAAUUCAAAGUUGAAGCUAAUUGCAAGCAGUUGUUGAUGACUGGUUUAGUGGUUAUGUUCAAGGAUGCUAAUGUAGUCGUAGUUGAAGGCGGUCCAAAACAACAAAAGAAGUUCAAAAGACUUAUGAUGAACAGAAUUAAAUGGGAUCAAGAUAAACGAAGAAAAAAUGUACACGAUGACGAUUCCGAUGAGGAAGAACAGAGGAAGGUAAACAAGUGCUUAUUGGUAUGGGAAGGGACAACGAUGGAGCGUUCAUUUGGAGACAUCAAGUUCAAACAAUGCCCUACGGAGUCAAUGGCGCGGGAAGUGUUUAAGAAACAUGGUGUGGAACACUAUUGGGAUUUGGCUCACAGCGAAGCUGUAAUUGAGGCGUCCCAAGAUUUGUAAUUAGAUUCAGUUCCAAUGCGAAUGAUUAUUCUUGCGUUUUAAGUUUGGUAAAUUCCAGGUAUUUUGAAAUAUCCCAACGGUAAGGAUCCAUUAUACAUUUGACUACAUUACAAUGUUUUGUUAUAUUCUUCUUGUUAUUUUUUCAAACUUCCAAUAAUGUAAGGAAUUAGGAGAAGUAAUGUAAAAAAAUAAUAUUAGAUAAAGGUAUAUGAAGAUGAAAUGGUGUAGGUUUGUACUGUAAAUUCAUGCGUAUAAGACGAUACAUGUAGUCAACUCCCAAGUUUGAAUACAGAUUCCUGGAGUGUCAGUCAUACAUAACAUCUGGCCUAUCAGAACAUGUAAUUCAAUUUGUGGGACCAGUAAUAAUGUGCAUGUCCAACACACAAGUUUACAUUCAGGAUUUCACUUUGUGGGACCUUAGCAAAAAUAUCCAAGAGGUAGGGCUUAACAAAUAGUCCAUGCCGAAUAAUUUGUUUGUACUAUUACUCUCUGCCCUCCCCUCCCCUCCCCCUCCCCCCACAACUUUCUACUGUUCUAAACAUAUCAGGCUAUGAUGCACAAUUGUUACUAGACUACUGGUUUACAAUGGAAGAAAAUGUUAUUAGCCCAGAGUGUAAUUUUGGUGGACUUCAUAGCCUUGAUUAAUAUUAAAUCUUGCCCUGACACAUAAGAUGACUUUUGACUUAGAACAUGCAAAUUCAGCUGUCUUCUUAUACAUGGGAAUUUACAACAUGUACAGACAUGGUAAGAUUCUCCUACCUACCCACAACUUUACCAAUGUAAUGUGAUAUGGGUUGGAGUUUUUUCUUCUUGUCGCAGGUACAUUACUGUUGUGUUUGCAACAAGACCAGUGUGUCAUAAUGAUUGACGUCAGGUGAGCCCAACAUCGCCAGCAAACUUGCUGGCCAGUGAACGGCUACAAGAGGUCAUUAUUAAAGGUAAUGUAUUUUAUGAAUAAUAAUUACAUGAUGUCUCAAAGGAAAGUUCCAGAGUUAAAUGUUAAUUUGAAUACAUUUAUUCCUAACAUCUUUGUUAGGAAAUAAAAUGCUGUAUUAUUUGGCAUAUUGCAAAUUUUUAUUAUAUUCCCUACUUCAGUUUUCAAAAACAAAUGUGAGCCUUCAAAGAUUAGUAAUUUAACACUCUGUAAUUUAAGUAUUAGUAUCACUUUUGAUUGACUUAUGCCAAUGCUGGUUUUUCACUACCGAGUUCAGGGUACCAAUAAGUACGUAAUUAAACGUACUACAUAUUUUUAUUAAAUAUUUUAUCUCUAGAACUCUCCUUUAAUAUAGUAUAAACAUGCAUGAAUAAACGAAUACAAGAAAAAUACAAAACAAAAAAAUUUAAUUGCUAUUUUAAUGCUUCUCUGGCAAUGUUUAAUUUGAAAAUAAAGCAAGUACUUAGUUGGGCAGUUAAAGAUAUACUAUCAAUCAAAAGAUAAUACCUCAAGAAUUCAUAUAAAAUUUUGAAUAACUUGUUUAAAAGGAUUAAAUAAAUUAUUAGCUUCCACCAAGAAACAGAUCGAAAAAGAUUUACAGACAUUUUAGUACAAAAUCCUUCCAUUGAUUACCUGCCAAUUAUGAUUUUUGUACUAAAAUGUCUGUAAAUCAGGGAAAACUGGUUUUUUUUUUACCUGUUUCUUGGUGGAAGUUUAUAAUAUAUUUGAUUCUUUUAAAUGAGCUCUCCAAAUUUCUUUUUUUAAUUUCUGAAGUAUUUUCUUGUAUUUUGACUGUUAGUACAUCUUACUAAAUACUAAAUGUUAUCUUGCCAUCUAGUCAGGGAUUAACAUUAUAUUCUUCAUUUAUACAUUGUAUCUUCAGUCUGUUAAAUAAUGUUCUGAAAACCAAACUGUAUCUAAGCAUGGAGGUAUAAAUCUAAGCUACUGUAUCAAGCUAUGAGAAUAGUAUAGUGGCAACAGUGGCAGCACCAGUGGGGUGUCCAGGGGUCAAAGUGUCCUUGUCAGUAAAGAAGCCAAUCAUUAAUAUGUUGGGUAAUACUGCCUUGAUAAGCAUUAACACAAGAUGCCAAGGAGCAUUUGUGUAUUUCUGCCUUCAAAAUGGCCUCCGAGUCAUUAAGUGCCACCAUUAUCUAGCAAAGUCAUAUAAUGGUGGUAUUGUUCAAUAUGUGCUUAAUCCUAUUAGAAUGUUACUGUCAUGAAUUUACAACAGCAAUUGAUGAAGUAAAAUAUUUCCUGGAAAAGCUUUUAUUCAUGUUUAGCACUCAAGUAUUUGAACAAUUAGUUAAUAACACAAAGGAGACUUAUAAUUCCAAUAUUGUAUGAGAAAGAGUAACAGGGAACUUAGAGUUUGAAAUUCAGUUUAGCUUAAGGCUGGUAAUUACUGUACAAAACUUCUCUAUUCAUUCAAAUUUCCUUAAAAGAAAUAAAAAUAAAUGUAUAAUAUCAAUUUGGCUGAAUUGAA